AAAAAAAGAGAAUAAGAGAAGAAAAAAGAAAAAAAAAUAGUAUGAGAACGAGAUGGUUGGGGAUGAUGUGUAUUGGUAACGUGCAUUGGUGAUGUCAAUGAUUAGUAGUGAUGCAUACAUGGAUGACAUCGGUUAUGGUGACAAUGGUGAGAAGAGUUAGAGAAGGUAGUGGGGAUGGAGGAUGUGAAGGAAGAGAAAGACAAAUAGAAAGAGGACGAGACUCCAAAGGAUAAAAAUGACCUAGAGCGGUAGUGGUGGCACAACGGUCAAUUAGUGACGAGGAAAAAAAAUAAAGGAUAAAGAAGAUUAGGAAGAGGAAGAAAGAGACCCAAUUGUGUAUUUUACCAACAAAUAUUACAGACAAAUAUUUAUUAGCAAACAUUUACCAAUGGAUUUGUUGUCAUCAAUACUUAUCUAUAUCCGUAAAUAAAAUUUACUAAU
Molecule: long non-coding RNA, 441 nt
Filed under: Vigna radiata
Lineage: Eukaryota; Viridiplantae; Streptophyta; Magnoliopsida; Fabales; Fabaceae
Description: long non-coding RNA (VRAD_LNC016916)
Source: RNAcentral